Molecule: transfer RNA, 63 nt
Filed under: Phascolosoma esculenta
Lineage: Eukaryota; Metazoa; Annelida; Sipuncula; Phascolosomatiformes; Phascolosomatidae
Description: tRNA-Val
Source: RNAcentral
ACAAAUGAAGCAUAAUAUGCCUUUCGCUUACACCGAAAAGAUGGCCUUUUGAGCCCAUUUGUU